UGGCACGGUUGUGCCUUCAUCUUUGCCUCUACCACCCCCACCUCCUGUGCCGUCCACGCCUGCCACAGCAAACUUGGGUAUUCCUUUGCCUCCACCACCUCCUGGUCCCCCACCUAAAGAUCAAGUUGCUGUUCGCCCUCCACUACCUCCACCUCCUCCCCUUCCACAGUCUGCACAGCCACCUCCACCUGGCACUAGUGGGAACAUGCCAGAUGACUUGACCUCCAAGGAUCUUGCUCAGGUAAGCUCUUCUAACAUCCUCUCUGGAUAUGCCACCUUUCUGGCUUGAGCAUAUAAACAAUAUGUAUGUUUUAAGUGUUUGUGUAAUCUUAAGAUCUAAAGAGUUUAGUUUAUCUACAAAACAUGCAAAAUAUUUGGUUGGACAAUAUACAUGAUUUCCUCAAGGUCCCAUGUCUGUUGUUGAAUACUCAAAUAUUGAGCAGUAGAGAGUUUGAUACUGUGCCCUUUCUCACUAACAAAGGUACAUCCAUUGAGAAAAGCUAAAAAUAAAAUAAAUUUAAGAGAUCUCUUGCCUAUGGCCUUCAAAAAGCCUUGCUUGGAAGGGUCUCUAGUGAAUUUUUUGUUUAGCCCUAAGGUGCAAGGUCUAGGCGCAUGUCUUGUCAACAUUGAUCUUCUUACACAGAAAGAUCUACACUUGGUCAAAAGCUGAGAACGGUGAAAUUGUUUCCUAAUUCUUUAGAAAUAUUUUCUGUGAGAAAAAUGUUAAUUUGUCUGUCUUGCUCUCCUUCUUAGGUGCCAACUGUACUCCCUCCCCCUCCUCCUGGAAUGCCCCCUAAAUUGGCUACUAAUCAAGGUGAAGGUGGUCCGUCAGAAGCUGAUACCAAUAACCAUACAGCAAUUUCUAAAAUGGUUCCACCACCUCCACCUCCUCCCAGACAACCUCCGGUGCCUGGACCUGCCAUGGUCCCAGCUUUACAGCCAGAUAUUUUACCCACUGGAAUACCAGGUUUCCCUCCGCCGCCGCUUCCAGACAUGCGGGCAGCACUAUCUGCCAGUGGACUUCCUAGU
Molecule: long non-coding RNA, 1029 nt
Filed under: Gossypium barbadense (sea-island cotton)
Lineage: Eukaryota; Viridiplantae; Streptophyta; Magnoliopsida; Malvales; Malvaceae
Description: long non-coding RNA (GBAR_LNC005972)
Source: RNAcentral